GCUGGGCGUGGUGGCGCUUGCCGGUAAUCCCAGUGGCUUGGGAGGCUGAGGCAGGAGGAUCACAAAUUCAAAGCCAGCCUCAGCAAAAGUGAGGCACUAAGCAACUCAGUGAGACCCUGUCUCUA
Molecule: small RNA, 125 nt
Filed under: Marmota monax (woodchuck)
Lineage: Eukaryota; Metazoa; Chordata; Mammalia; Rodentia; Sciuridae
Source: RNAcentral